UACAGAGGGGGCAAGCGUUGUUCGGAAUUACUGGGCGUAAAGGGCGCGUAGGCGGCCCGCUAAGUCGAACGUGAAAUCCCCGGGCUCAACCCGGGAACUGCGUCCGAUACUGGCAGGCUUGAAUCCGGGAGAGGGAUGCGGAAUUCCAGGUGUAGCGGUGAAAUGCGUAGAUAUCUGGAGGAACACCGGUGGCGAAGGCGGCAUCCUGGACCGGCAUUGACGCUGAGGCGCGAAAGCUAGGGGAGCAAACGGG
Molecule: ribosomal RNA, 253 nt
Filed under: uncultured bacterium
Lineage: Bacteria
Description: partial 16S ribosomal RNA
Rfam family: Bacterial small subunit ribosomal RNA
Source: RNAcentral